GGGCAGGUGGCCGAGUGGUUAAAGGCGGCAGACUGUAAAUCUGUUCCGGAAGGUACGGUGGUUCGAAUCCAUCCCUGCCCACCA
RNAcentral lists this transfer RNA (84 nucleotides) under Peptococcaceae bacterium CEB3. RNAcentral's name for it is "tRNA-Tyr". It matches the Rfam family "tRNA". Rfam says of the family: Transfer RNA (tRNA) molecules are approximately 80 nucleotides in length. Lineage: Bacteria; Bacillati; Bacillota; Clostridia; Eubacteriales; Peptococcaceae. RNAcentral also lists the same sequence under 1 other name. The record is from RNAcentral.